Molecule: ribosomal RNA, 433 nt
Filed under: uncultured bacterium
Lineage: Bacteria
Description: partial 16S ribosomal RNA
Rfam family: Bacterial small subunit ribosomal RNA
Source: RNAcentral
AGCGAACGCUGGCGGCAGGCCUAACACAUGCAAGUCGAACGAACUCUUCGGAGUUAGUGGCGGACGGGUGAGUAACACGUGGGAACGUGCCUUUUGGUUCGGAAUAACUCAGGGAAACUUGUGCUAAUACCGAAUGUGCCCUUCGGGGGAAAGAUUUAUCGCCAUUAGAGCGGCCCGCGUCUGAUUAGCUAGUUGGUGAGGUAACGGCUCACCAAGGCGACGAUCAGUAGCUGGUCUGAGAGGAUGACCAGCCACACUGGGACUGAGACACGGCCCAGACUCCUACGGGAGGCAGCAGUGGGGAAUCUUGCGCAAUGGGCGAAGGCCUGACGCAGCCAUGCCGCGUGAAUGAUGAAGGUCUUAGGAUUGUAAAAUUCUUUCAACGGGGACGAUAAUGACGGUACCCGGAGAAGAAGCCCCGGCUAACUUCGUG